GAUCCCGGAGGUCCACACCCGACAGCGCGAUGCGCCCUCGGGUGCGUUCGUG
Molecule: non-coding RNA, 52 nt
Organism: Lyngbya confervoides
Lineage: Bacteria; Bacillati; Cyanobacteriota; Cyanophyceae; Oscillatoriales; Microcoleaceae
Source: Rfam